UGGGGAAUAUUGGACAAUGGGCGCAAGCCUGAUCCAGCAAUGCCGCGUGAGUGAUGAAGGCCUUAGGGUUGUAAAGCUCUUUCGCACGCGACGAUGAUGACGGUAGCGUGAGAAGAAGCCCCGGCUAACUUCGUGCCAGCAGCCGCGGUAAUACGAAGGGGGCUAGCGUUGUUCGGAAUUACUGGGCGUAAAGGGCGCGUAGGCGGCCUGUUUAGUCAGAAGUGAAAGCCCCGGGCUCAACCUGGGAAUAGCUUUUGAUACUGGCAGGCUUGAGUUCCGGAGAGGAUGGUGGAAUUCCCAGUGUAGAGGUGAAAUUCGUAGAUAUUGGGAAGAACACCGGUGGCGAAGGCGGCCAUCUGGACGGACACUGACGCUGAGGCGCGAAAGCGUGGGGAGCAACAGGAUUAGAUACCCUGGUAGUCCACGCCGUAAACGAUGAAUGCUAGACGUCGGGGUGCAUGCACUUCGGUGUCGCCGCUAACGCAUUAAGCAUUCCGCCUGGGGAGUACGGCCGCAAGGUUAAAACUU
RNAcentral lists this ribosomal RNA (528 nucleotides) under uncultured bacterium. RNAcentral's name for it is "partial 16S ribosomal RNA". It matches the Rfam family "Bacterial small subunit ribosomal RNA", at positions 355 to 902 of the family's 1533-position model. The record is from RNAcentral.